AAAGCGGCCUUUUUUAAGGCCAUAGUUUUACUCAUGGGUUUUGAGG
Homo sapiens (human) is the source of this 46-nucleotide non-coding RNA. Lineage: Eukaryota; Metazoa; Chordata; Mammalia; Primates; Hominidae. The record is from Rfam.